RNAcentral lists this ribosomal RNA (751 nucleotides) under Rhodococcus sp. (in: high G+C Gram-positive bacteria). Its description in RNAcentral is "bacterial SSU rRNA". It matches the Rfam family "Bacterial small subunit ribosomal RNA", at positions 95 to 859 of the family's 1533-position model. The record is from RNAcentral. RNAcentral also lists the same sequence under 1 other name. Lineage: Bacteria; Bacillati; Actinomycetota; Actinomycetes; Mycobacteriales; Nocardiaceae.
GCGGCGAACGGGUGAGUAACACGUGGGUGAUCUGCCCUGCACUUCGGGAUAAGCCUGGGAAACUGGGUCUAAUACCGGAUAUGACCUCCUAUCGCAUGGUGGGUGGUGGAAAGAUUUAUCGGUGCAGGAUGGGCCCGCGGCCUAUCAGCUUGUUGGUGGGGUAAUGGCCUACCAAGGCGACGACGGGUAGCCGACCUGAGAGGGUGACCGGCCACACUGGGACUGAGACACGGCCCAGACUCCUACGGGAGGCAGCAGUGGGGAAUAUUGCACAAUGGGCGAAAGCCUGAUGCAGCGACGCCGCGUGAGGGAUGACGGCCUUCGGGUUGUAAACCUCUUUCAGCAGGGACGAAGCGCAAGUGACGGUACCUGCAGAAGAAGCACCGGCUAACUACGUGCCAGCAGCCGCGGUAAUACGUAGGGUGCAAGCGUUGUCCGGAAUUACUGGGCGUAAAGAGUUCGUAGGCGGUUUGUCGCGUCGUUUGUGAAAACCAGCAGCUCAACUGCUGGCUUGCAGGCGAUACGGGCAGACUUGAGUACUGCAGGGGAGACUGGAAUUCCUGGUGUAGCGGUGAAAUGCGCAGAUAUCAGGAGGAACACCGGUGGCGAAGGCGGGUCUCUGGGCAGUAACUGACGCUGAGGAACGAAAGCGUGGGUAGCGAACAGGAUUAGAUACCCUGGUAGUCCACGCCGUAAACGGUGGGCGCUAGGUGUGGGUUCCUUCCACGGAAUCCGUGCCGUAGCUAACGCA